AAUGGCGAGUCUCAGAGAUCAAAAGCAUUGAAUUCAAUCUCUCAUUCCCCAAAUUCGCUCACGACUUUGUGUUCUGUUCGCUCUCGCUUGCAUGGUGCUGCUUCGCUCCCUUCCGCAGCCGGCGGUGACACGUUCAUGAGGCUUGCAUAUUUAAUUGGUUCAGAUAUAGAAAGAAGUCCUGUCAACAGUGCUUCACUCAGCAUGCUACCUUGGCCUAAGCCCGCAGUUUGGCCUUUAGUUCCACCUGAUGCUUCAUCUGAGGUGUUUGAGAAGGAAAAGGUGAGGUUUUUAAUUUGGUAUUAUUGACAUGUAACUAGGAAAAGGCUUGUAAAUUUGAGCACUGAUAUAAAUUAAAUAAACCAACCUUGUACUGGUUAUUUCGAGGAUACUUCAAUUGAUACUCUGCUUCUUUUGUUAUAAGUGAUUCAACUGGUUUGCUGGUUGUUUAGAAUGAGUCUUAACUGAAGUCAAAUAAAGUUAAUUACAUUUUAGGAUGAAAGAAAAUUUUAUUCAUAACUCAAAAAUCAUUUGAUGGCUCAGUAUGAUGGCCUCAGUGACAUCCUAACAAAGCGGCCAAUUGUAAUUGGGCCAGAACUGAAAGCUACUCUGGAAAACAUGAUCUGGUUUUUUACUUUCUUUGUAAAAAUUAGUUUUUUCAAUAAUGCCUCCUGUGCGCUGAGGAGCUUCAUCAUCAACAUCUUUACUCUGGAUUAUUGGAAGAAAUAACUGAACAACUGUGGGAUAGUCAAAUUUAUUGUUGUCGCAGUUCAAUUACAUACAUUAGUCACCAAUAUGGAUCUUAGAUGAUAUCUAGAGCUGGAGGAUUGUAAGGACCAGGUUGUCAAAAAA
Molecule: non-coding RNA, 849 nt
Organism: Camellia sinensis
Lineage: Eukaryota; Viridiplantae; Streptophyta; Magnoliopsida; Ericales; Theaceae
Source: RefSeq, a predicted model, not a curated record